CCUUUUGUUACCGACCUCCUUUUUUUUAUCUGUGUUUUUAUCAGUCGCUUCCUACCUCUCACUCUCUCUCCAAUAUGCAACUUGGUACUGGCUACUGUUCGAGUGGUUACUCGCCGCCUUAAAUCUUUCUUCACGACCAGUGUUCCUUUUCCUUUGCCCCUCACUGUGUUUCUCCUCCACUCAGAAAUUAACACCGCCUUCAUCUAACGCUUUCCACCUCCUUCGUCUCCACGUCUUUGCCGUCCAGAGAGGAUCACCGGUAAACCACCACCGAUUUUGGGUCAUUGUUUUCGUUUUCCUCUGUCUUCUCCGUUCGAACAAAUACAUAACAAAAACAGUAGGAAAUCGAAGGUGAUGUUUCGCUUUGAUUUUGAAGGUAUGUACGCAAGUAAGCCCCAAUGUUUCCUCUAGAACUGAUAACUAAUGUUUACACAGAUGGUUACAGAUGUCUGCCAUCUCUUCCUUCCUUACUUUUCCCCUUUUGGUUGAAGCGGUGGUAGCGACGUGUUAUUUUCACAUUCAUUUGAAUUUGGAUCUUGCAUCACACGUGUACGUUAUUACGUUGCUUCACCUCCAAUGUUUCCAGAUUUCUCAAUCGUAUCUCUCUCUCUCUCUCUCUCUCUCUCUCUCUCUCUCUCUCUCUCUCCCGAACAUGAAGUUUCUGAUACUACAUCCGGUGGUCUCUCUGUGCUCUACCUAUCACCCCCCCGACGUCGGCUUCAGGGCUCAGCUUUUAGUUCGUCGACGCCACUCUCUAUUGACUCUCUAAAAUAACCCUAAUCGCUUCUCUUUGAUGCAGUUGGUCCGGGGAAUAUGAUCACUUGCCUCCAUAAUAACCCAAGAACAAGAUUCAGUUAUACCCCAACCAAUUGAUAUUCAGAUUUGAAAGAGAGUCUCACUAUGCUUUCCAACUGCUCGAUGAAAUGCUUGAACCAGGAUGCGUCUGUCCUUGAAAGACAAUAUCAGCAACCCAAACAAAAAUUGUGAAGGAGACUUUGAAUGGACAACAGAUUGAGAAGAGGAUCAGAGUUUAUGUGAAGAAGAAGGUUUUCCAUUGGAGGAAGAUGAAGAGACUAGAACAAGAAGUGGUGGAGCAGGCUGUGCUGAAUGUUCAAAACGAUACAUGUUAUGUGAAUCUAAUCAGUUUAUUGAAGCUUACUCAUGGGUAUGAUUCUUUUAGUGUUGGGUAAUUGGAAUUUGGAAGUCAUUACAUUUAUAUUUUCUGGGAAAUCAAGUAUGGUGAUUUUCCCAGCUGGAGCUGGAAAGUCACCGUGUUAUUAUUUCCCUGCUAUUGUUCUACAGGGAAUGAUAAUUAUCAGUGGUCUAUUGGUGUCACUUAUGUUCAAUCAAAUCAAACAACUGAAACCAGUGGUUCAAGGUGGUUUAUUACGUAGCAGUCAUAUAUUAUCAAUCGAUGUAAUAUGCCUCUUUUAUAAAUACAAUGUACUUUCAUAUAUUUUCUCAACUCUAAAUGCAAGAAUAAAUAAAGAAAUUUCUGUUAUUUUCUUA
Molecule: long non-coding RNA, 1509 nt
Organism: Lactuca sativa (garden lettuce)
Lineage: Eukaryota; Viridiplantae; Streptophyta; Magnoliopsida; Asterales; Asteraceae
Source: RefSeq, a predicted model, not a curated record